This 488-nucleotide ribosomal RNA is filed under the name uncultured bacterium. Its description in RNAcentral is "partial 16S ribosomal RNA". It matches the Rfam family "Bacterial small subunit ribosomal RNA", at positions 28 to 507 of the family's 1533-position model. The record is from RNAcentral.
GACGAACGCUGGCGGCGUGCUUAACACAUGCAAGUCGAACGAAAAUACCAAGCUUGCUUGGUUGAUUAGUGGCGAACGGGUGAGUAACACGUGAGUAACCUGCCCCUUACUUUCCUGGAUAACUGCUCGAAAGGGUAGCUAAUACGGGAUAUUCUGACCAGCCUGCAUGGGUUGGUUUGGAAAGGUUGUUUUUCUGGUAAGGGAUGGGCUCGCGGCCUAUCAGCUUGUUGGUGGGGUGAUGGCCUACCAAGGCUUUGACGGGUAGCCGGCCUGAGAGGGUGGACGGUCACACUGGGACUGCGGUACGGCCCAGACUCGUACGGGAGGCAGCAGUGGGGAGUAUUGCACGCGGGGGGCUGGCCUGAUGCAGCCACGCCGCGUGAGGGAGGAAGGCCUUCGGGUUGUACACCUCUUUCGUCAGGGAACAAGGCACUGCUUUUGUGGUGGUGUUGAGGGUACCUGGAUAAGAAGCGCCGGCUAACUACGUG